ACAAUGGAGAGUUUGAUCCUGGCUCAGGAUGAACGCUAGCGGGAGGCCUAACACAUGCAAGCCGAGCGGUAUGGUUCUUUCGGGAACCAGAGAGCGGCGUACGGGUGCGGAACACGUGUGCAACCUGCCUUUAUCUGGGGGAUAGCCUUUCGAAAGGAAGAUUAAUACCCCAUAAUAUAUUGAGUGGCAUCACUUAAUAUUGAAAACUCCGGUGGAUAGAGAUGGGCACGCGCAAGAUUAGAUAGUUGGUGGGGUAACGGCCUACCAAGUCAGUGAUCUUUAGGGGGCCUGAGAGGGUGAUCCCCCACACUGGUACUGAGACACGGACCAGACUCCUACGGGAGGCAGCAGUGAGGAAUAUUGGACAAUGGGUGAGAGCCUGAUCCAGCCAUCCCGCGUGAAGGACGACGGCCCUAUGGGUUGUAAACUUCUUUUGUACAGGGAUAAACCUAGAUACGUGUAUCUAGCUGAAGGUACUGUACGAAUAAGCACCGGCUAACUCCGUGCCAGCAGCCGCGGUAAUACGGAGGGUGCAAGCGUUAUCCGGAUUUAUUGGGUUUAAAGGGUCCGUAGGCGGAUCAGUAAGUCAGUGGUGAAAUCUCAUAGCUUAACUAUGAAACUGCCAUUGAUACUGCUGGUCUUGAGUAAGGUAGAAGUAGCUGGAAUAAGUAGUGUAGCGGUGAAAUGCAUAGAUAUUACUUAGAACACCAAUUGCGAAGGCAGGUUACUAUGUCUUAACUGACGCUGAUGGACGAAAGCGUGGGGAGCGAACAGGAUUAGAUACCCUGGUAGUCCACGCUGUAAACGAUGCUAACUCGUUUUUGGGUUUUCGGAUUCAGAGACUAAGCGAAAGUGAUAAGUUAGCCACCUGGGGAGUACGAACGCAAGUUUGAAACUCAAAGGAAUUGACGGGGGCCCGCACAAGCGGUGGAUUAUGUGGUUUAAUUCGAUGAUACGCGAGGAACCUUACCAAGGCUUAAAUGGGAAUUGAUCGGUUUAGAAAUAGACCUUCCUUCGGGCAAUUUUCAAGGUGCUGCAUGGUUGUCGUCAGCUCGUGCCGUGAGGUGUUAGGUUAAGUCCUGCAACGAGCGCAACCCCUGUCACUAGUUGCCAUCAUUAAGUUGGGGACUCUAGUGAGACUGCCUACGCAAGUAGAGAGGAAGGUGGGGAUGACGUCAAAUCAUCACGGCCCUUACGCCUUGGGCCACACACGUAAUACAAUGGCCGGUACAGAGGGCAGCUACACAGCGAUGUGAUGCAAAUCUCGAAAGCCGGUCUCAGUUCGGAUUGGAGUCUGCAACUCGACUCUAUGAAGCUGGAAUCGCUAGUAAUCGCGCAUCAGCCAUGGCGCGGUGAAUACGUUCCCGGGCCUUGUACACACCGCCCGUCAAGCCAUGGAAGUCUGGGGUACCUGAAGUCGGUGACCGUAAAAGGAGCUGCCUAGGGUAAAACAGGUAACUAGGGCUAAGUCGUAACAAGGUAGCCGUACCGGAAGGUGCGGCUGGAACAUCUCAUUU
RNAcentral lists this ribosomal RNA (1517 nucleotides) under Chryseobacterium daecheongense. RNAcentral's name for it is "bacterial SSU rRNA". It matches the Rfam family "Bacterial small subunit ribosomal RNA". Lineage: Bacteria; Pseudomonadati; Bacteroidota; Flavobacteriia; Flavobacteriales; Weeksellaceae. The record is from RNAcentral.